GGCGUCGUCGUCGCCGCCGAGGCCCCGAAACAGACUUUUCCUGUCGACUCCCGCGGGUGAUGAACUGGACCGGUUGGUUGCUUUCAAUCUGGGUUUACUUCUCACACCGUGGCUGCUUAAACCGGAAAGAAGUCAUGAAGGUUGAGGGCGAAAAGACAUUUUAAAUGCACUUUGAGGCUUCGGCGCGAAUGUUUCGAAUGAACCCACGGCACGCGUUGAACACGUCAAAGUCUGUUGCCUUGAAACGUGCGACAGCUGCUCUCUGGACUCUUUAAGUCAAAAACAGAAACACUUUUGAAUUAUUUUGCCUUCUUUAGUAUAUUUCUUUUAUUCGCCAACAAGGUGAGUGAAUAAAAUUAAAAUCCAGUAUUUUUUUUCCCAUCCCUUUUUCUAUGAUAUGUGCAAUAUCUUUGUUCUGAUUUUGUACAUUAACAGCAAGCAAAGUGUCCCUCCAAUUUGUGCGUUUCCUUUUUUUGCGUCAUGUUGCGUCAAUAUUUAUUUAUUUUUGUUUCUGACCCGUGUCUAAGUCCUUCUUGGUAAAUUAAUGUGUGGCUGUCCUCGUGGUCUCUUCGGAGACACCGACUUGGAGUUGAGUGGAAUGUCUAGUAAGUGAUUUUUUGCAUGUAAUGUUAUAAUGUGAGGCUAUCCUCUGCACAUUGUAUAACAAAUCAGUGUUACCAUAGCAAGUUUAAGUGCAAUCAUGUUCUGAAGAAUGCAGACUUGUACUAUGAGUGGACGUCUGUUGUUGUCCAGGACGGGAUUCAGGUGAAGAAAUAUAUAUCCUUUUUUCAUUUAAGAAUAUAUAAAUACUUACUUACACAGUUUACGGUGGAAAGAGGAAUGUGUGUAUAUAUAUUUUAAUAAAAGGAAAAUGCUUCUCUUUGGGCUGAACAAAAAUAUUUUGCUGGAUAAGCACAUAUGAAAGAACACUUUCAUUUUCUUCAGGAAAUGCAGGUAUGAUCUACAAAAUGCAAACUGAACAAAGGAACUGGGUAUAUAUGUAAAGAAGAACUUUCUACAUUCUACAAAUAAGAGUCUAUUCUAGUGUGUAAAUUAGUGACAGUGAACUGUUUGUCCCAAUAUUCAGGUUGUAAAUGUAUUUUAACAUUCACAAGGAAAACCAUCGCCGUAAGUCAGGCUUAUUCUCACACAUUUCAAGGGAGUUACCGUGGAAACAACAGUGCUUCAAAUGUCUGCAGUCCGUCUUUGUGAGAAAGAACCCCAACGAUGCACUGCAUGGAUCAUCAUGUGUCCUAUUCACUGUGAGCUGAUGGGCGGGGGAGUCAAAAGAAAUCAGCAUAUGCAUUUUGGUUUUGAUUCAUUUUGAAUUUCCUCUUGUUGCCCUACGUUAGGCUGGUAGUUAUUGAAGCUCAGCAUGCAUUUCAUCAACAAAGCCAUCGUGUAAAUGACAAACAGAGAUCGGUUGCUGAGGGCUUUUCAUGGUGUAAAUAUGGGAUGUUGGCGUGCAGAGAGACGAACUGCUCGGAAGGUCGGUUUAUCUUCAUGAAGCCCUGAAGGGACCAAGAGAGAGACCAACGGCUUAAAGCAGCUGUACAUAAUGUGUAUAUGAUCAGAACUAUAUUCUGAUACCUGCAGUUGAUCUAUGAACAUAUCGAUUGUCUGAAAUCUGCCGUAGGAAUAAAAAAACAGACUGUUAGAAAGUUCGCUGCCAUUUACAUCUAGCUCUUUUUUUUCCAUACAUGCACCCCCUCCCCACCCCCCCCCCCGUAAACACACGCAGACAGAACUACACACUUCCUGCUGCAAGCUGUUCAGUCUGGAGUUGGACACAUUUUAAAAAGAGGAAAAUACAAGAACGGCCUCGUUUAUAUGUGCAUUCUGUUUGUACAGUGAGUAGUGAGUCAGUAAGAACCCAGUUAUUGUAAAACUUCCAACUGUGACGAUGUUGAGAACGCAAAAUAAACAAAUAUAUGACUUAUGGUAAGCAUGUUGUUGUUUUUCCUCUACAGAUUAUAUAAAGUACCAAAAAUAAAAUCUCUCAUCGAG
Gasterosteus aculeatus aculeatus (three-spined stickleback) is the source of this 2007-nucleotide long non-coding RNA. The record is from Ensembl. NCBI's taxonomy places the organism in Eukaryota, Metazoa, Chordata, Actinopteri, Perciformes, Gasterosteidae.